This 495-nucleotide ribosomal RNA is filed under the name uncultured bacterium. RNAcentral's name for it is "bacterial SSU rRNA". It matches the Rfam family "Bacterial small subunit ribosomal RNA", at positions 36 to 524 of the family's 1533-position model. The record is from RNAcentral.
UGACCUGGCGGCGGCCUACACAUGCAAGUCGAGCGGUUGACGGGAGCUUGCUCCCUGAUUCAGCGGCGGACGGGUGAGUAAUGCCUAGGAAUCUGCCUAUUAGUGGGGGACAACGUUUCGAAAGGAACGCUAAUACCGCAUACGUCCUACGGGAGAAAGCAGGGGACCUUCGGGCCUUGCGCUAAUAGAUGAGCCUAGGUCGGAUUAGCUAGUUGGUGGGGUAAUGGCUCACCAAGGCGACGAUCCGUAACUGGUCUGAGAGGAUGAUCAGUCACACUGGAACUGAGACACGGUCCAGACUCCUACGGGAGGCAGCAGUGGGGAAUAUUGGACAAUGGGCGAAAGCCUGAUCCAGCCAUGCCGCGUGUGUGAAGAAGGACUUCGGAUUGUAAAGCACUUUAAGUUGGGAGGAAGGGCAGUAAAUUAAUACUUUGCUGUUUUGACGUUACCGACAGAAUAAGCACCGGCUAACUCUGUGCCAGCAGCCGCGGUAAU